This 405-nucleotide ribosomal RNA is filed under the name Triticum aestivum (bread wheat). RNAcentral describes it as "partial small subunit ribosomal RNA". Lineage: Eukaryota; Viridiplantae; Streptophyta; Magnoliopsida; Poales; Poaceae. The record is from RNAcentral.
AUGCCUUUUGGCCUGUGCAACGCCCCUGCAACUUUUCAGUGCCUCAUGAACACGGUAUUUGGGCGCUAUGUUCAUAAGUUUAUCAUCAUAUUCCUCGAUGAUAUUCUCGUCUUCAGCACUGACUUGCAGGAACAUGAGGAGCACCUGCGGCUCACGUUGCAAUUGCUUCGCGAGCACCAGCUUUUCACCAAGGAAUCCAAAUGCUCGUUUGCGCAAACUAGCAUCGAGUACUUGGGACACGUGAUCUCCAAGGAUGGGGUCGCAACCGACGCAACCAAGACCAGCACCAUGCAGCCCUGGCCCGUGCCCACGAUGGCCACCGAGCUCCGCGGCUUCCUCGGCCUGACGGGAUACUACUGCAAGUUCGUCUCCCACUACGGCAUUAUCGCGAAGCCGCUGACCUAG